UGCAGAGGGGGCAAGCGUUGUUCGGAAUUACUGGGCGUAAAGGGCGCGUAUGCGGCCUGCUAAGUCGAACGUGAAAUCCCUGGGCUCAACCCAGGAACUGCGUCCGAUACUGGUUGGCUUGAAUCCGGGAGAGGGAUGUGGAAUUCCAGGUGUAGCGGUGAAAUGCGUAGAUAUCUGGAGGAACACCGGUGGCGAAGGCGACAUCCUGGACCGGUAUUGACGCUGAGGCGCGAAAGCCAGGGGAGCAAACAGG
This 253-nucleotide ribosomal RNA is filed under the name uncultured bacterium. RNAcentral's name for it is "partial 16S ribosomal RNA". It matches the Rfam family "Bacterial small subunit ribosomal RNA", at positions 524 to 776 of the family's 1533-position model. The record is from RNAcentral.